CUAGCGACAGGCUUAACACAUGCAAGUCGAGGGGCAGCGGGGGUAGCGAUACCCGCCGGCGACCGGCGCACGGGUGAGUAACGCGUAUGCAACUUGCCUAUCAGAGGGGGAUAACCCGGCGAAAGUCGGACUAAUACCGCAUGAAGCAGGGGCCCCGCAUGGGGAUAUUUGCUAAAGAUUCAUCGCUGAUAGAUAGGCAUGCGUUCCAUUAGGCAGUUGGCGGGGUAACGGCCCACCAAACCGACGAUGGAUAGGGGUUCUGAGAGGAAGGUCCCCCACAUUGGUACUGAGACACGGACCAAACUCCUACGGGAGGCAGCAGUGAGGAAUAUUGGUCAAUGGCCGAGAGGCUGAACCAGCCAAGUCGCGUGAGGGAUGAAGGUUCUAUGGAUCGUAAACCUCUUUUAUAAGGGAAUAAAGUGCGGGACGUGUCCCGUUUUGUAUGUACCUUAUGAAUAAGGAUCGGCUAACUCCGUGCCAGCAGCCGCGGUAAUACGGAGGAUCCGAGCGUUAUCCGGAUUUAUUGGGUUUAAAGGGUGCGUAGGCGGCCUUUUAAGUCAGCGGUGAAAGUCUGUGGCUCAACCAUAGAAUUGCCGUUGAAACUGGGGGGCUUGAGUAUGUUUGAGGCAGGCGGAAUGCGUGGUGUAGCGGUGAAAUGCAUAGAUAUCACGCAGAACCCCGAUUGCGAAGGCAGCCUGCCAAGCCAUUACUGACGCUGAUGCACGAAAGCGUGGGGAUCAAACAGGAUUAGAUACCCUGGUAGUCCACGCAGUAAACGAUGAUCACUAGCUGUUUGCGAUACACUGUAAGCGGCACAGCGAAAGCGUUAAGUGAUCCACCUGGGGAGUACGCCGGCAACGGUGAAACUCAAAGGAAUUGACGGGGGCCCGCACAAGCGGAGGAACAUGUGGUUUAAUUCGAUGAUACGCGAGGAACCUUACCCGGGUUUGAACGCAUUCGGACCGAGGUGGAAACACCUUUUCUAGCAAUAGCCGUUUGCGAGGUGCUGCAUGGUUGUCGUCAGCUCGUGCCGUGAGGUGUCGGCUUAAGUGCCAUAACGAGCGCAACCCUUGCCACUAGUUACUAACAGGUAAAGCUGAGGACUCUGGUGGGACUGCCAGCGUAAGCUGCGAGGAAGGCGGGGAUGACGUCAAAUCAGCACGGCCCUUACAUCCGGGGCGACACACGUGUUACAAUGGCGUGGACAAAGGGAAGCCACCUGGCGACAGGGAGCGAAUCCCCAAACCACGUCUCAGUUCGGAUCGGAGUCUGCAACCCGACUCCGUGAAGCUGGAUUCGCUAGUAAUCGCGCAUCAGCCAUGGUGCGGUGAAUACGUUCCCGGGCCCUGUACACACCGCCCGUCAAGCCAUGGGAGCCGGGGGUACAUGAAGUCCGUAACCGAAAGGAUCGGCCUAGGGUA
RNAcentral lists this ribosomal RNA (1421 nucleotides) under uncultured organism. RNAcentral's name for it is "16S ribosomal RNA". It matches the Rfam family "Bacterial small subunit ribosomal RNA". The record is from RNAcentral.